Non-coding RNA from Gossypium hirsutum (cotton), 144 nucleotides. The record is from Rfam. Lineage: Eukaryota; Viridiplantae; Streptophyta; Magnoliopsida; Malvales; Malvaceae.
UAUUAAAAUUUCAUCUAUUUAUAUUGUUAAAGACUGACGUGAUUGACCGCAUAACCAAACAGUAAUAUGUGUCAUGCCACUUGUAUAUCAUGCUAAUGUACAUGAACUAUUUUUUAACCGUAUAAAUAGAUGAAAUUUUUAAUA